Molecule: ribosomal RNA, 370 nt
Filed under: uncultured organism
Description: bacterial SSU rRNA
Rfam family: Bacterial small subunit ribosomal RNA
Source: RNAcentral
CGUAGGGUGCAAGCGUUAAUCGGAAUUACUGGGCGUAAAGCGUGCGCAGGCGGUUUUGUAAGUCUGAUGUGAAAUCCCCGGGCUCAACCUGGGAAUUGCAUUGGAGACUGCAAGGCUAGAAUCUGGCAGAGGGGGGUAGAAUUCCACGUGUAGCAGUGAAAUGCGUAGAGAUGUGGAGGAACACCGAUGGCGAAGGCAGCCCCCUGGGUCAAGAUUGACGCUCAUGCACGAAAGCGUGGGGAGCAAACAGGAUUAGAUACCCUGGUAGUCCACGCCCUAAACGAUGUCUACUAGUUGUCGGGUUUUAAUUAACUUGGUAACGCAGCUAACGCGUGAAGUAGACCGCCUGGGGAGUACGGUCGCAAGAUUA